This 465-nucleotide ribosomal RNA is filed under the name uncultured bacterium. RNAcentral's name for it is "partial 16S ribosomal RNA". It matches the Rfam family "Bacterial small subunit ribosomal RNA", at positions 28 to 507 of the family's 1533-position model. The record is from RNAcentral.
GACGAACGCUGGCGGCGUGCUUAACACAUGCAAGUCGAACGGAAAGGCCCCUUCGGGGGUACUCGAGUGGCGAACGGGUGAGUAACACGUGAGUAACCUGCCCUUGCCUUCGGGAUAACUUCAGGAAACUGGGGCUAAUACCGGAUAGGAAUCCUUGCUGCAUGGUGGGGGUUGGAAAGCUUCGGCGGUUUUGGAUGGACUCGCGGCUUAUCAGCUUGUUGGUGGGGUAGUGGCUUACCAAGGCUUUGACGGGUAGCCGGCCUGAGAGGGCGACCGGCCACAUUGGGACUGAGAUACGGCCCAGACUCCUACGGGAGGCAGCAGUGGGGAAUAUUGCACAAUGGGCGGAAGCCUGAUGCAGCAACGCCGCGUGCGGGAUGACGGCCUUCGGGUUGUAAACCGCUUUCAGCAGGGGCGAAGCUUGUGGUGACGGUACCUGCAGAAGAAGCACCGGCUAACUACGUG